RNAcentral lists this unclassified non-coding RNA (241 nucleotides) under plant metagenome. Its description in RNAcentral is "partial contains small subunit ribosomal RNA, internal transcribed spacer 1, and 5.8S ribosomal RNA". The record is from RNAcentral.
UUUCUGUAGGUGAACCUGCGGAAGGAUCAUUAUUGAAUGAAACACUUCUGGCUUUAUGCUGUUGUGCUGGCCCUUUGGGCAAUGUGCACACGGCUCUGGUCACUUGUUUCUUCUGUUCCACCUGUGCACUGCCUGUAGACACGCUGUGUCUAUGAUAUUUGUUAACACACAACAAUGUUAGUUGGCAUGUUAUAUAUAAUAAUAAAAUAUACAACUUUCAACAACGGAUCUCUUGGCUCUC